AGAACGAACGCUGGCGGCAUGCCUAACACAUGCAAGUCGAACGCUCUUGGGGCUUCGGUCUCAGGGGAGUGGCGCACGGGUGAGUAGCGCGUGGGAACCUGCCCUGUUGUGGGGGAUAACCGAGGGAAACUUCGGCUAAUACCGCAUAAGCCGGUUGUCUUGAAGGAGAUGGCCGGGAAAGAUUUAUCGCGACAGGAGGGGCCCGCGUCGGAUUAGCUAGUUGGUGGGGUAACGGCCCACCAAGGCGGUGAUCCGUAGCUGGUCUGAGAGGAUGAUCAGCCACACUGGGACUGAGACACGGCCCAGACUCCUACGGGAGGCAGCAGUGGGGAAUAUUGGACAAUGGGCGCAAGCCUGAUCCAGCAAUGCCGCGUGAGUGAUGAAGGCCUUCGGGUUGUAAGCUCUUUCGCACGCGACGAUGAUGACGGUAGCGUGAGAGACGCCCGGCUAACUUCGCGCAGCAGCCGCGGU
This 471-nucleotide ribosomal RNA is filed under the name uncultured bacterium. Its description in RNAcentral is "SSU rRNA". It matches the Rfam family "Bacterial small subunit ribosomal RNA", at positions 26 to 521 of the family's 1533-position model. The record is from RNAcentral.